AAACAAAUUUUCAGAAUGUCUGUGUAUUUGCAGAUUAAUUUGUCCCUAAAAGAGUAUUGUAUUGAGUUUCUUCGAGAAAAAGUGCAACCUGAGUUUUGUUUGGGAACUGUGGCAGUUUUCCGAGAAAUAUGAUUGGACACCGUGACUGAAUACAUCGUUCAGAUGGCUGUGGAUCAGAUUGACACCGUCUGUCAACACAACGAGCUGCUGGACCUGCCGAAGUCCAUGCUCUCCAUUCUACUUUCAGAACAACAGAAGCUGAGCUGGACGAUGUCUGUAAAGCCAUUCUGCCGCUGGGUGGUGGCGGAUCAAGACAAAAGAAAGAUUCACCUUUUAGAAUUGCUUCCCUUUGUUUGCUUUCCCUUGCUAAGCUCCAGUUAUUCCAGUGUGACUUGCUUGAGUUACCAGAACCAAUCAUUCAGAGACAUCCUCCUGUUUCUGUCAAAACGGGAUGCAGAUAGAAUCAGCCAAGGUCUGACUUACCGCUUAAUUGAUGAUAUAAAAAAUAAGCAAAAGAUUCUGGGUUCAGUGUCUGUGCCUCUUGACUUGCCAGAAAUCCAGAGCCGCGGCAUUGUGAUUGGAGGUUACACCGAGAUUAACAAAACCCUCCAGAGAUACAUACGCAUUCAAUUUAAAUCUUACUUAUAUAUGAGGUUAUAACAAACUAGCCCCCUUGCCUGAAGACAUUGGACUGGACUUUGCCAGCUGCACGUGGUACAACGAGGUUUACGUCAGCGGUGGAUCCGAGUUGUCCACCUUCUUUGCUGUCUACAAACCAGGGGACAACGAGUGGGAGGUGCUGCCCUCUCUACCAGAUGUCGGUCUAGAAAAGCAUGCAAUGGUUGCCGUUAGUUCCAACAUCUACCUUCUAGGUGGACUUGCAAAAAACACCUCUGGAGAGAAAACGAUUUGCUCAAGGGUCCUGAAAUACAACACAAGCUCGAGGGAAUGGAGUGUCUUCUGUCAGCUGUUGCUAGGUGUUCAGGAAUCCACCGCGGCUGUUCUCGGUCACCGCAUUUACCUGUUUGGCGGAGUCGAUAGUAAAGGAGCCAGAACAGAUUGGGUGCAGUGCGUGGACACCCUGGGUGGCUGCACCUACCAGGCCGGCAAACUUCCGUCACUCACGUGCGGGGCGCGAGCUCUGAGCAAUGGAGGACGUAUUUACGUCGUGAGACCCGAAGGAGACGUGUUGUCGAUGAAGGAAAACUCUUCCUUGGCGAAUCAGGUAGAACAAAAAUUGUCUGCUACGAAGGAAGAAUCAGAAAUUGGUAACCAAGUCAGCUCCACCGUUAGCUUAAACGGAUGCCUGGCAAUUUUGAAGGAAGACGUCACUUGGUGCUUGCCUGCAUGCAGGGGGGAUCACCGUGUGUGGAGGCGAGAGCAAGGCGGGAGAACUGUUAAAAACAUUUGAACUGAUUCCUCUGGGAAAGGAUACUAUGCCAAAGAAACCCUUGAAUCUUCUAGCUGGGACAGCGAAGUUUGACAUCCAUGUGCUAAAUGUUCCCGUGGAGUACAUGAAAGAAGAAACAGCAGAGAUGAAGCCCUUUGUGGUUGGGGACAUCGUCACGCUUCAUCCAGACGAAGAGAAACGUCUACAAAAUAUAAUGGUUAAUGGGACACGUUAUGUGGGAGGUUACAACACCUAUCCAGCAGAUUACGCAAUUCCUGUGGGAAUUGGUACAAUUAAAGCGAUUGACGAUGCAACCCAACUGAUCAGAGUGGAUUUCCGAAACUACGAAGGAUGGCGAGGCUUUGCGAGAGAACUGCUGCCCGCACCUUGAUUCACGCUAUUGACGUUGAAUUACUGGCUGAUCCACGGAAAGUAAAUGCAAAUCAUCAUGGAACUCUAAACUUCUUAUCUUAUCUUCAAUAGUCUAUAGACAGCACGUGACAUUGUUGACUGUUUCCUCCCGUUGUUCUGGACACACUCCAGGUAACACAGCCAUCUGGAGGACGCCAUCUAGCCCCUCUGGUCGCAAGGUAUCGACACUCCAUGAACUCCUGUGGCUCUAGCUUUUGACAAGAACUAGCACUGAUAUGUUACAGCUGGAAGCUUCUACAAAGUACUGCUAGAUUCACAUUGAAAGAGAGCUUCUCUAGUUGAUGACACUGAUCAUUUAAUGCAUGAAGUGUUGUCUAAGUCUUUACUUGUUUUCGCUUGUUUUAAAGACCGUUAGACUUUUAUAGGAAGACAUCCUUGUUUGUUUACGACAUAGGGAAUGUAUGCUCACUUUAAGGUGUGCUGAAAAAUUUACAUAAAUUUUGUAUAUAUGAACAAUAUCAUUUAGUAUUAAUUUCUUUAGUAUUGUAUUUAAGUAAAUUGUGUGGUAUUGUUGAAAACAAUUUAUAAUGUAGACAAUGUCAAAAUCAUAUUUGAAUCAAAUACGAUCUCAUUAAUGCUUUUAAGGAAUGUUGUCCUUGCCCAAAUGUUAAUUUAUGAUGAACUUUUAUUCUCAUAUUGUGUUAGCAGUCAUCAUAACACAAUUUUGUCAUGUUUCGUUAAUUCUUCUAAACCCGAAAAAAAAACGAGUAUAUAAAACUAUAAAAGUCAAAUGUCUAACGAUGCUGUAGGAAACAACUUGUAAACAGCUUCCAGACCUUAAUCGAGCGAGAAGGAAAGUCCAACAACCUAAGUCCAGCCAACGAGUCCAAACGACCCUUAAAGGACUCAAACCGACCGUGACUGAUAGAUGUGGCGGCUAGAAAGUAAAAAUAUAAUUUAUGGAAAAUAAAGUUGCAUUCAACAUUCAAUAAACAAAUUGUGUGUGUGUGCGUGUGUGUGUCAAAUAUCAGCUAGAUAAAAACUGUUAUCAAAUC
RNAcentral lists this long non-coding RNA (2817 nucleotides) under Pomacea canaliculata. RNAcentral describes it as "uncharacterized LOC112569550". Lineage: Eukaryota; Metazoa; Mollusca; Gastropoda; Architaenioglossa; Ampullariidae. The record is from RNAcentral.